RNAcentral lists this ribosomal RNA (1451 nucleotides) under uncultured organism. RNAcentral's name for it is "SSU rRNA". It matches the Rfam family "Bacterial small subunit ribosomal RNA". The record is from RNAcentral.
UAGCUACAGGCUUAACACAUGCAAGUCGAGGGGCAGCAUGGUCUUAGCUUGCUAAGGCCGAUGGCGACCGGCGCACGGGUGAGUAACACGUAUCCAACCUGCCGUCUACUCUUGGACAGCCUUCUGAAAGGAAGAUUAAUACAAGAUGGCAUCAUGAGUCCACAUGUUCACAUGAUUAAAGGUAUUCCGGUAGACGAUGGGGAUGCGUUCCAUUAGAUAGUAGGCGGGGUAACGGCCCACCUAGUCUUCGAUGGAUAGGGGUUCUGAGAGGAAGGUCCCCCACAUUGGAACUGAGACACGGUCCAAACUCCUACGGGAGGCAGCAGUGAGGAAUAUUGGUCAAUGGGCGAGAGCCUGAACCAGCCAAGUAGCGUGAAGGAUGACUGCCCUAUGGGUUGUAAACUUCUUUUAUAAAGGAAUAAAGUCGGGUAUGCAUACCCGUUUGCAUGUACUUUAUGAAUAAGGAUCGGCUAACUCCGUGCCAGCAGCCGCGGUAAUACGGAGGAUCCGAGCGUUAUCCGGAUUUAUUGGGUUUAAAGGGAGCGUAGAUGGAUGUUUAAGUCAGUUGUGAAAGUUUGCGGCUCAACCGUAAAAUUGCAGUUGAUACUGGAUAUCUUGAGUGCAGUUGAGGCAGGCGGAAUUCGUGGUGUAGCGGUGAAAUGCUUAGAUAUCACGAAGAACUCCGAUUGCGAAGGCAGCCUGCUAAGCUGCAACUGACAUUGAGGCUCGAAAGUGUGGGUAUCAAACAGGAUUAGAUACCCUGGUAGUCCACACGGUAAACGAUGAAUACUCGCUGUUUGCGAUAUACUGCAAGCGGCCAAGCGAAAGCGUUAAGUAUUCCACCUGGGGAGUACGCCGGCAGCGGUGAAACUCAAAGGAAUUGACGGGGGCCCGCACAAGCGGAGGAACAUGUGGUUUAAUUCGAUGAUACGCGAGGAACCUUACCCGGGCUUAAAUUGCAGAUGAAUUACGGUGAAAGCCGUAAGCCGCAAGGCAUCUGUGAAGGUGCUGCAUGGUUGUCGUCAGCUCGUGCCGUGAGGUGUCGGCUUAAGUGCCAUAACGAGCGCAACCCUUGUUGUCAGUUACUAACAGGUUCUGCUGAGGACUCUGACAAGACUGCCAUCGUAAGAUGUGAGGAAGGUGGGGAUGACGUCAAAUCAGCACGGCUCUUACGUCCGGGGCUACACACGUGUUACAAUGGGGGGUACAGAGGGCCGCUACCACGCGAGUGGAUGCCAAUCCCAAAAACCUCUCUCAGUUCGGACUGGAGUCUGCAACCCGACUCCACGAAGCUGGAUUCGCUAGUAAUCGCGCAUCAGCCACGGCGCGGUGAAUACGUUCCCGGGCCUUGUACACACCGCCCGUCAAGCCAUGGGAGCCGGGGGUACCUGAAGUGCGUAACCGCGAGGAGCGCCCUAGGGUAAAACUGGUGACUGGGGCUAAGUCAUAAC